Molecule: ribosomal RNA, 480 nt
Filed under: uncultured bacterium
Lineage: Bacteria
Description: partial 16S ribosomal RNA
Rfam family: Bacterial small subunit ribosomal RNA
Source: RNAcentral
GACGAACGCUGGCGGCGUGCCUAACACAUGCAAGUCGAGCGAAUGAAGUUCCUUCGGGAAUGGAUUUAGCGGCGGACGGGUGAGUAACACGUGGGUAACCUGCCUCAUAGAGGGGAAUAGCCUUCCGAAAGGGAGAUUAAUACCGCAUAACAUAGCACUACCGCAUGGUAGAGUUAUCAAAGGAGCAAUCCGCUAUGAGAUGGACCCGCGGCGCAUUAGCUAGUUGGUGAGGUAACGGCCCACCAAGGCGACGACGCGUAGCCGACCUGAGAGGGUGAUCGGCCACAUUGGAACUGAGACACGGUCCAGACUCCUACGGGAGGCAGCAGUGGGGAAUAUUGCGCAAUGGGGGAAACCCUGACGCAGCAACGCCGCGUGAGUGAAGAAGGCCUUAGGGUCGUAAACUUCUUUUGCAUGGGAAGAUAAUGACGGUACUGUGCGAAUAAGUCCCGGCUAACUACGUGCCAGCAGCCGCAGUAA